GAGUACACGUGGCCUGACUCCUACGGUCAGGCAGCAGUGGGGAAUAUUGCACAAUGGGCGCAAGCCUGAUCCACACAUGCCGCGUGUGUGAAGAAGGCUCUAGGGUUGUAAAGCACUUUCAGUAGGGAGGAAGGCCUUAAAGUUAAUACCUCUGAGGAUUGACGUUACCUACAGAAGAAGCACCGGCUAACUCCGUGCCAGCAGCCGCGGUAAUACGGAGGGUGCGAGCGUUAAUCGGAAUUCUCUGGGCGUUAAGCGCGCGUAGGCGGUUAGUUAAACUGGAUGUGAAAGCCCCGGGCUCAACCUGGGAACUGCAUUCAGAACUGGCUGGUCUAGAUGUCACGCUGAGAGGUGUAUGUGGAAUUUCCUGUGUACGCGGUGAAAUGGGUAGAUAUAGGAAGGAACAUCAGUGGCGAAAGGCAGUACUGACCUGGCUCGUCUACUGAACGCUG
Molecule: ribosomal RNA, 452 nt
Filed under: uncultured bacterium
Lineage: Bacteria
Description: bacterial SSU rRNA
Rfam family: Bacterial small subunit ribosomal RNA
Source: RNAcentral